This 263-nucleotide long non-coding RNA is filed under the name Helianthus annuus (common sunflower). RNAcentral's name for it is "sRNA HanXRQr2_Chr04g0141241". The record is from RNAcentral. Lineage: Eukaryota; Viridiplantae; Streptophyta; Magnoliopsida; Asterales; Asteraceae.
GUAUUCACUACCUUACCAAACGAUGUCUCCUCUUCGAAUAGAACCUCUUAAGUCUUAACCCUUAUUUCCACAUCAACCCAUUAUUAGACUAUGAGCCCACGGGCUUAUCUAAACUUCUAGUUCCAUCCGCUACGACUGCGGGAGAGUAUUAGACUAUGAGCCCACGAGCUUAGUUAGGUUUCUAGGGUUACUCGUAAUCCCUAUAUAUUGUAACCUACUCAUUCAAUAAUAAUCAUUCAGUCUUUCAUAAUCUUACACCCGUA